AGUGAACGCUGGCGGUAGGCCUAACACAUGCAAGUCGAACGGCAGCACAGUAAGAGCUUGCUCUUACGGGUGGCGAGUGGCGGACGGGUGAGGACUACAUCGGAAUCUUCUUUUUCGUGGGGGAUAACGUAGGGAAACUUACGCUAAUACCGCAUACGACCUACGGGUGAAAGCAGGGGAUCUUCGGACCUUGCGCGAUUGAAUGAGCCGAUGUCGGAUUAGCUAGUUGGCGGGGUAAAGGCCCACCAAGGCGACGAUCCGUAGCUGGUCUGAGAGGAUGAUCAGCCACACUGGAACUGAGACACGGUCCAGACUCCUACGGGAGGCAGCAGUGGGGAAUAUUGGACAAUGGGCGCAAGCCUGAUCCAGCCAUACCGCGUGGGUGAAGAAGGCCUUCGGGUUGUAAAGCCCUUUUGUUGGGAAAGAAAAGCAGCAGGUUAAUACCCCGCUGUUCUGACGGUACCCAAAGAAUAAGCACCGGCUAACUUCGUG
This 492-nucleotide ribosomal RNA is filed under the name uncultured bacterium. RNAcentral describes it as "partial 16S ribosomal RNA". It matches the Rfam family "Bacterial small subunit ribosomal RNA", at positions 29 to 507 of the family's 1533-position model. The record is from RNAcentral.